This 426-nucleotide ribosomal RNA is filed under the name uncultured bacterium. RNAcentral's name for it is "partial 16S ribosomal RNA". It matches the Rfam family "Bacterial small subunit ribosomal RNA", at positions 354 to 796 of the family's 1533-position model. The record is from RNAcentral.
GUGAGGAAUUUUCCGCAAUGGGCGAAAGCCUGAUGGAGCAAUGUCGCGUGAAGGAUGAAGGCCUAUGGGUUGUAAACUUCUUUUCUCAGAAAAGAAUUAUGACGGUAUCUGAGGAAUAAGCAUCGGCUAACUCUGUGCCAGCAGCCGCGGUAAGACAGAGGAUGCAAGCGUUAUCCGGAAUGAUUGGGCGUAAAGCGUCUGUAGGUUGUUUAAAAAGUAUUCUGUCAAAGAUUAGGGCUUAACCCUAGAUAGGCAGAAUAAACUUUUAAGCUAGAGGUUGGUAGAGGCAGAGGGAAUUCCCGGUGGAGCGGUGAAAUGCGUAGAUAUCGGGAGGAACACCAAAGGCGAAGGCACUCUGCUGGGCCAAUACUAACACUGAGAGACGAAAGCGAGGGGAGCAAAUGGGAUUAGAAACCCCGGUAGUCC